Molecule: unclassified non-coding RNA, 318 nt
Filed under: Hevea brasiliensis (rubber tree)
Lineage: Eukaryota; Viridiplantae; Streptophyta; Magnoliopsida; Malpighiales; Euphorbiaceae
Source: RNAcentral
GAAUAUCCUUCUCAUGUCAAAGGUAUGUCAAUUAUAUCCCUGAAUUGCUUUGAUUUUGAUGGUGAUGUUGCAUACUUAAAUGUAGUGAGAAAUUAUAUCCAAACAUUUACUUGAGCUGUUGCUCUAAACUUAGUGUUAUUUUGAAUGACUUGACCAUGAAUUUGUUGAUAUUCAAGGCUUAUUGGAUAUCGAAUUUACAUAUGUUUGGAAAUUUUUGAAUGAACUACUAUGAAUUGCUUUAUUGCAAUCUAGAGUCUCACAUUUCACUUGCAUUUACUUUUACGUCUGUUUGUUAGGUUGAAAACCAAGAAGGGGUUG